This 565-nucleotide ribosomal RNA is filed under the name uncultured beta proteobacterium. RNAcentral describes it as "bacterial SSU rRNA". It matches the Rfam family "Bacterial small subunit ribosomal RNA", at positions 338 to 916 of the family's 1533-position model. Lineage: Bacteria; Pseudomonadati; Pseudomonadota; Betaproteobacteria. RNAcentral also lists the same sequence under 1 other name. The record is from RNAcentral.
CCUACGGGAGGCAGCAGUGGGGAAUCUUGCGCAAUGGGCGAAAGCCUGACGCAGCAACGCCGCGUGAGGGACGAAGGCUUUCUGAGUUGUAAACCUCUUUCGACAGGAACGAUUGUGACGGUACCUGUAGAAGAAGCACCGGCCAACUACGUGCCAGCAGCCGCGGUGAUACGUAGGGUGCAAGCGUUGUUCGGAUUUAUUGGGCGUAAAGAGCUCGUAGGCGGUUCGAUAAGUCGGGUGUGAAACCCCCAGGCUCAACCUGGGGCAGCCACCCGAAACUGUCGUGACUAGAGUUUGGUAGGGGAUCACGGAAUUCCUGGUGUAGCGGUGGAAUGCGCAGAUAUCAGGAGGAACACCAGUAGCGAAGGCGGUGAUCUGGGCCAAUACUGACGCUGAGGAGCGAAAGCGUGGGGAGCGAACAGGAUUAGAUACCCUGGUAGUCCACGCCGUAAACGGUGGGCACUAGGUGUGGGGACUUUUCAACGGUUUCCGCGCCGCAGCUAACGCAUUAAGUGCCCCGCCUGGGGAGUACGGCCGCAAGGCUAAAACUCAAAGGAAUUGACGG